RNAcentral lists this transfer RNA (72 nucleotides) under Bos taurus (domestic cattle). It matches the Rfam family "tRNA". Rfam says of the family: Transfer RNA (tRNA) molecules are approximately 80 nucleotides in length. Their secondary structure includes four short double-helical elements and three loops (D, anti-codon, and T loops). RNAcentral also lists the same sequence under 3 other names. Lineage: Eukaryota; Metazoa; Chordata; Mammalia; Artiodactyla; Bovidae. The record is from Rfam by way of RNAcentral.
UCCCUGAUAGCUCAGUUGGUAAAGAAUCUGCCUGCAAUGCAGGAGACCCCGGUUCAAUUCUGGGUCGGGAAG